AUACGGAGGAUCCGAGCGUUAUCCGGAUUUAUUGGGUUUAAAGGGUGCGCAGGCGGCCAUUUAAGUCAGCGGUUAAAUCGUGGGGCUCAACCCCAUUGUGCCGUUGAUACUGGGUGGCUUGAUUGCGGUCGAGGUUGGCGGAAUUCGUUGUGUAGCGGUGAAAUGCAUAGAUAUGACGAAGAACACCGCUUGCGUAGGCAGCUGACCAGAUCGCAAAUGACGCUCAUGCACGAAAGUGCGGGGAUCGAACAGGAUUAGAUACCCUGGUAGUCCGCACAGUAAACGAUGAAUACUUGUUUUCGGCGAUAUAAUGUCGGAGGCAAAGCGAAAGCGAUAAGUAUUCCACCUGGGGAGUACGCCGGCAACGGUGAAACUCAAAUGAAUUGACGGG
Molecule: ribosomal RNA, 391 nt
Filed under: uncultured bacterium
Lineage: Bacteria
Description: partial 16S ribosomal RNA
Rfam family: Bacterial small subunit ribosomal RNA
Source: RNAcentral